RNAcentral lists this non-coding RNA (26 nucleotides) under Homo sapiens (human). The record is from RNAcentral. Lineage: Eukaryota; Metazoa; Chordata; Mammalia; Primates; Hominidae.
UCGACCUGGACGUGAGGACGACUCUC